This 481-nucleotide ribosomal RNA is filed under the name uncultured bacterium. RNAcentral's name for it is "bacterial SSU rRNA". It matches the Rfam family "Bacterial small subunit ribosomal RNA", at positions 37 to 507 of the family's 1533-position model. The record is from RNAcentral.
UGGCGGCAUGCCUUACACAUGCAAGUCGAACGGCAGCAUGGAAGAGCUUGCUCUUCUGAUGGCGAGUGGCGAACGGGUGAGUAAAGCAUCGGAACGUACCGUGUAGUGGGGGAUAACGUAGCGAAAGUUACGCUAAUACCGCAUACGCACUGAGGUGGAAAGCAGGGGAUCGCAAGACCUUGCGCUAUACGAGCGGCCGAUGUCAGAUUAGCUAGUUGGUAGGGUAAAGGCCUACCAAGGCGACGAUCUGUAGCGGGUCUGAGAGGAUGAUCCGCCACACUGGGACUGAGACACGGCCCAGACUCCUACGGGAGGCAGCAGUGGGGAAUUUUGGACAAUGGGCGAAAGCCUGAUCCAGCCGUGCCGCGUGAGUGAAGAAGGCCUUCGGGUUGUAAAGCUCUUUCGGCUGGGAAGAAAUCGCACAGGCUAAUACUCUGUGUGGAUGACGGUACCAGCACAAGAAGCACCGGCUAACUACGUG